GAAGGUAACGCAGUCGUAGGGCCUUUGCCGUGGUCCGCCAGCAUUGUGUAUGGGAGCGCAGGUUUUAAGACGACAAAAACUCCCCCAGAGGGGGCGGAGAGGAAUAUUAAAGGACCACUGCUCUUCAAAUCGUGCCGUGUUGACUACAACAAAAAAACCAAUCGACUGGAGUUUCCCAAAGGAGAAUAUAUCGGUAAAACUGUGUGUCACCGUAGAAACGCAGAAUCCACACCCAACGUGGAAGGUGGCGAGUAUUAUGACAUCAUUGUAAACUGCAAUUUGGACGAGAUUGAUUCCCAAGAGUAUGCAGUGGAAGAUGCGAUAAAACUGCGAGCUAUAGAGAAAGAACUACUGCUACCUGGAACGGACAGGGCACAACGCAAAGCUCGAAUCAGCAAGUAUCUACACUGGGUGAGUGAAAAAAACAAGUAAUUAGCUUUAGAAGCUUUGGUUGGUUAAUUUCUGUCUAUCUGUUUAUUUUCUUCUGCUGGCAAACAAGCCAUUCCCUAAGUCUUGUUGCUUGCUCUUCAUAUUGUUGAAGAAGUUCCAGAGAAACCUUGCUGAAGCUUCAAACUCUAUGUUUAGCUGAAAGAGAAAGUUCCAAAAAGAGAUGUUGAGUUAUCUUCCUAGACUCAGCUUGAGUAUGAUAAGAAAGCUUCCGUUGACCGAAUUUUUAUGGUUUCAAAUAACUAUCUUGUUAUUCAACUAGUAAUCCCUCACAGCUUAUACAGAUAACUCUUUUCAACAGUUUGAACGGUCACUGAGCACAGACCAACACAAGUUGACGCUUGACGAACCGUUAAUAGAAGAAGAKUGUGRUUUUCUAAGACAAGUCUACCUUCCUUGCGCCGAGGAUUCCACCAUGUUGGAUCUGACUUCUCUCUCAAAGGAAGACGUUCAGAGUUAUGGAAUCGUGUUCAAUGCACUUGAUACUUUGUCUGACGA
Molecule: long non-coding RNA, 945 nt
Organism: Orbicella faveolata
Lineage: Eukaryota; Metazoa; Cnidaria; Anthozoa; Scleractinia; Merulinidae
Source: RefSeq, a predicted model, not a curated record